GCGGGUGUGGUGGAACUGGCAGACACGCUAGACUUAGGAUCUAUGCCGUAAGGCGUGGGGGUUCGACUCCCUUCACCCGCA
RNAcentral lists this transfer RNA (81 nucleotides) under Sporosarcina thermotolerans. RNAcentral's name for it is "tRNA-Leu". It matches the Rfam family "tRNA". From Rfam's summary of the family: Transfer RNA (tRNA) molecules are approximately 80 nucleotides in length. Their secondary structure includes four short double-helical elements and three loops (D, anti-codon, and T loops). The record is from RNAcentral. Lineage: Bacteria; Bacillati; Bacillota; Bacilli; Caryophanales; Caryophanaceae.